AGAGUUUGAUCCUGGCUCAGAACGAACGCUUGCGGCGUGCUUAACACAUGCAAGUCGAACGAGAAAGGGACUUCGGUCCUGAGUACAGUGGCGCACGGGUGAGUAACACGUGGAUAAUCUACCUGAUGGACAGGGAUAACAUCUCGAAAGAGGUGCUAAUACCAGAUAAGCCCACAGCAUCUACGGAUGCAGCGGGAAAAGGGGGCCUCUUCAUGAAAGCUUCCACCAACAGAUGAGUCCGCGGUCCAUUAGCUAGUUGGUAGGGUAAUGGCCUACCAAGGCCACGAUGGAUAGCUGGUUUGAGAGAAUGAUCAGCCACACUGGAACUGAGACACGGUCCAGACUCCUACGGGAGGCAGCAGUGGGGAAUAUUGCGCAAUGGGGGAAACCCUGACGCAGCAACGCCGCGUGAGUGAUGAAGGUUUUCGGAUCGUAAAGCUCUGUCAAGAGGGAAGAAACCCCGAUAGGCUAAUACCUUGUCGGAUUGACGGUACCUCUAAAGGAAGCACCGGCUAACUCCGUGCCAGCAGCCGCGGUAAUACGGAGGGUGCGAGCGUUGUUCGGAAUUAUUGGGCGUAAAGCGCGUGCAGGCGGUUGUUUAAGUCUGAUGUGAAAGCCCCGGGCUCAACCUGGGAAGUGCAUUGGAAACUGGGCAACUUGAGUACGGGAGAGGGAAGUGGAAUUUCGAGUGUAGGGGUGAAAUCCGUAGAUAUUCGAAGGAACACCAGUGGCGAAGGCGGCUUCCUGGACCGAUACUGACGCUGAGACGCGAAAGCGUGGGGAGCGAACAGGAUUAGAUACCCUGGUAGUCCACGCCGUAAACGCUGGGUAAUAGGUUUCGCGGGUAUUGACCCUUGCGGUGGCGACGCUUAACGAUUUAAAUACCCCCUCGGGGGGAGGACCGGUCCCACAACUAAAACCUCAAGGGAAUUUAGGGCGG
Molecule: ribosomal RNA, 940 nt
Filed under: uncultured bacterium
Lineage: Bacteria
Description: bacterial SSU rRNA
Rfam family: Bacterial small subunit ribosomal RNA
Source: RNAcentral